This 292-nucleotide ribosomal RNA is filed under the name uncultured bacterium. RNAcentral describes it as "partial 16S ribosomal RNA". The record is from RNAcentral.
GGACUACUGGGGUAUCUAAUCCUGUUUGCUCCCCACGCUCUCGUGCCUCAGCGUCAGUAUUUGUCCAGGUAGCCGCCUUCGCCACUGGUGUUCCUUCCGAUCUCUACGCAUUUCACCGCUACACCGGAAAUUCCACUACCCUCUACAAUACUCUAGCCUACCAGUAUAAGAUGCCGUUCCUAGGUUAAGCCCAGGGCUUUCACAUCUCACUUAAUAAACCGCCUACGCACCCUUUACGCCCAGUAACUCCGAUUAACGCUUGCACCCUCUGUAUUACCGCGGCGGCUGGCAC